UCAAUGACACGCUUUGCCAAACUUCAUGGCCCUCUAAUUUCAUUGAGGCUCGGUACUCAAGUUGUUAUUUUUGGCUCUUCUCCGACUGCAGCAGCUGAAAUUCUAAAAAAUCACGAUCGUUUGCUUUCUGCUAGAUGGACACCUAAAGUGAUUCCGCGCAAAAUCCAUGAACUUGAACGUAUAUCUGUUAUUUGGAAUCCCACAUGCGAUGACCAGUGGAAGUCCUUGCGAGCCUUGUUCAGGACCGAGCUUUUCUCUGCCAAAGCCAUCAAAUCUCAAGCCACUUUGAGGGAGAAGAAAUUGUCGGAGUUGGUGGAAUUUUUAACUACCCAACAAGGGCAAGUAAUCAAUAUUGGAGAAAUUGUGUUUGCUACUGUUUUCAAUACAAUUUCUAAUCUUAUAUUCUCCAAGGACUUGAUUGGUUUGGAAGAUAAAGGGGUAGCUAGUGGAUUGAAAAGCCUGUUUUGGAGGAUGAUGGAGUUGGGCUCUGCUCCAAACAUAGCAGAAUUUUAUCCCAUCUUAGAGGGGUUGGAUCCUCAGGGUUUAAGAAGAAAAGUUUCAGAGUGCAUUAUGCAAAUUUUUGGUGUAUGGGAAAUUUAUAUCAAGGAGAGAAGAGAAAAGCAUGUCAAUGAUGCUCCCAAAACAGAUUUCUUGGAUGUUUUUCUUUCCAGUGGAUUUGAUGACGAUCUAAUCAAUUGGUUGAUUGUUGUAUGCAGACUCUCUCCUAUCUUUUUAGUGUGUUGUUUUUGCAUAUUGUUUUUAAUUGAUAUAAAUCCUUGGUUAUCAUUUCAGGAAUUGAUGAGUGCAGGCGUAGAAACUACCACCACAACGGUGGAGUGGGCAAUGGCUGAGAUUCUGAAGAAUAAACGAGUCAUGGAAAAAGUUGGGGAAGAGCUGCAAAGGGUAAUCAACAGGGGCACAAUACACGAAUCUGAAGUUUCUCAACUCACAUACGUUAAUGCAGUUGUAAAGGAAACAUUGAGGUUACAUCCUCCUGCUCCAUUUCUCCUUCCACAUCGAGCUCCUGAAACUUGUGAAGUUAUGAAUUAUACAAUUCCAAAAGAUUCUCAAAUAUUUGUCAAUGUUUGGGCAAUUGGACGAGAUCCUUCAGUUUGGGAAGAUCCUUUGUCAUUUAAACCUGAAAGAUUUUUGGAAUCGAGUUUAGAUUUGAAAGGUCAUGAUUUUGAGCUGAUACCCUUUGGUUCAGGAAGGCGGAUUUGCCCAGGACUAACGAUGGCUAUAAGGCAAACUCCCAUGAUUUUGGCCUCUUUAGUACAUUACUUUGAAUGGUCUCUUGAAAAUGGUGAAGAUCCUGCAACGAUAGACAUGAAUGAUAAGUUUGGCGUCACAUUGCAGAAAGAGAAGCCUCUCCUCGUUAUUCCUCGACGGAAAUUGUAGAUUUGGAGAUUGCGUGUUUUUAGUUUGUUUUCUGUUGUACGAAUAUUUGCGCUGUUACGAAUAAACUGAAUUUGUUUUCUAGAUUCCAUUAAUCCUAACUAGCUAUAUUGUUUUUCUGAUUCUUCAAAGAAGAAAGAUAUAUAUGAUGUUGAGGCUUUUUAGUGAUAUAGAUAAAAUAAUCCAGCCUUUAAGAGAUUGGAUAUUAACAAAAGCAGUAUAGUGGAUAUAUCCAGAGGUGUGAAGACCGAUCUAACCGAUAAAAAUACAUCUAUCAAAAAUAAAUAAUAGCAAUAUGUAAAAAACAUCACAUGUAGAGCCUCAGAAAAACUAAUCAAUUUUUUUAAUUUUCUCAAUUUAAAAGUUCUAACCGGCCAUACAAAAAGAAAAAAAAAAAAAUCUAUUUACAAUCUUAUUCAAAAGAAAUGGAAAAGAGAAAAUUAUUAUUCAAAUAUGAAACUCAUAAAACCAUAUUUUAUAUAUUGAAAAAUUGAUUUUUUCACCCAAAUCUAAAUAAUAUGAUCCAUUUCCCGACAUAUUUUUUGGAUUUAAAAUCUUUUUUUUUUUAAAAUUUAGAUAGUCUACCCAUAUCCAUGAAAUCCAUAAUUUUUACAAUUAAAUUUUUUUCUCAAUUUUAAAUAAUUUGAUCAUUACAUAUGAAACUCAUUUUUCUAAAAAAAAAUUAAUUUGAAAAUUUUCUUGAAUUAUAACAAAUUGAGAUAAACAAUAAAAUUCAAUCACCUAAUUAAAAUAUGUAGCUAUUUUCAUCAGAAUAUCUAUUUGAUAAAAGAAAUAUGUAGAAUUUUAGAAAAUUACACAAAUAUCCAUAAUUUUUUUUAUAAAAAUUUGAAGGGCCAUAGCCUCCCUUGACCCAUGCUCAACUUCGCCGCCUGCUAUUAGCCGACUAAAUACAACAAAUUGAAAGAUAUUGUCGAACUGAAGAUCAAUACCUAAUUUUAUACUGUAUUUAAUAUUAUUCUGUGAUGAAAUUAAAUAAAAAGUUGAAUUAUGGUGUAUUGAAGAUAGCAAUUGUAUUGUACUCCUUAAUUGUUUUCAGAUUCUUGAAGAAAAAAAAAAUGAUGUUGAGGAUUUUUAUUGAUAUAGAUCGAAUAAUCUAAAUGUAAUACCCCUACAUGAUUAUUUAAUUAACCGAGUCGGAGACAUUAUAUUAUGAAAUAAUUCUCUUAUUUUUUACAUAAUUUAUAUCAUAUAAUUCAUAGCCUUUUUUUUAAAAAAUUCAGCAGAAUUUUUCCUGAAAUAUGGGUUUAAUUCUUCACUUGAAUAGUAAUAUUACACUUCUAUAAACUUCAACCUUAACCUCCAAAUUUCUUUUAAUAUCAACAUAAUUUCAAUUCAGAUAUUAAUGCAGUUCUUGAUCUACUGCUCCUUCAAUCUACAACCUGCGCGAGGAAGAAUACAUUCCUACACGCUAAGCAAAUUGCGUAGUGGUGCUCAACUUUUACUUAUAUUUAAAAAUAAAUCAUUUAAAUCAGAAUUCAUUUAUCAACAAUAAAUCAAACAAAUAACAAUAAAUUAUAUAAUAAAUAAUUUGAAAUAAUUCUAAAUCAUAUUAUUAUUUCACAUAUAUACAAAUUUUAAUUUCAUAGUCUUUUUCUUUUUCUUCAUGUAAAAAGUUUUAUUUUCUCUUAAUACUUUUAUUUAUUUAUUAUUUUUUUUGGUUUCUAUAAGUUUAAAUGGGACUGUUAAGUCAGAUAAAUAAACUGUAUCUGUAGGGUACAAAGUACCAAAUAACUGUAUGACUCAAAAGCCGAGUCUAUAACUGUAGGAUACAUCAUUAUAUCCCAAAAAUCAAUGUAACUGUAGUGCAGUACUACAAGAUCUGUAUAGGGCAUGCCACACCUUUAAACUAACUCACAAUUCUCACCAAACUUAUUAAGAUUAGACUUUAAAUAAUUUAUACAUUUAAACAAGGGAACUAAAACUUUCAAUAUAAUAUAACUUUCAAUUAUUCAAACUAUAAUAUUUUAUCAUAUUACAACUGUACUUUUAAACAUUUUCAUAUAAAUCUAUUAAUUUAAUUCAAUUACAUAAAUUAUAAAUUCAUAAUUUAAUCCUUAAUUAAUUAACUAUUAUUAUUUUUAUUAUUAUUAUUUUUUUAAUCUAUUUAUCAUGAUAUACCAUAUCUCAUUUUUCUUUUUCUUUUAAUUUUUAUUUCUAUCCAACAAUUUUCUUUUAACCCUAACUUAACUAAUUUACAAUGUUUGACAUGGUAUUUCUUAUUUAGACUAAUAAUUAAUUUUUUUAUUAUUAUUAUUACUAUAUCUUAACCAAAUUACAUCCUAUAAAAGAAAGUAGAGACAUUCCACUUGGUCCAUAACUUGAAUUUUACUCAAAUUACAUAUUAAUUUCAAAAUUUUCUAUUUAUCAAAUUUAUCAUUUCUUCAAAUUUUAAUCAUAUUAUAUAACUAAAAUAUUAUUCACUUGAUCUAAUUCUACUAAAGUAGUAAAAUUUUCAAAUAAAACUUAAUUAACAAAUUAUUGAAUUUAUUCAAAUAAAGUUGAGCACAAACCUUAAACCUCCUAAAAUCUUCCACAAACUUAAAAUUUUCAAAUCUUUCUUUUCUUUCCCUUUAAAGUUUUCACUCUUCCCUUCCACUUCUUCUUCAUUAAAAAUAAAUAAAUAAAUCAUAUUAAUAUAAUAUUCUUCAUAAAUAUUCACGUAAAAAUGAUAAAAAAAUCCCUACAUCAAAAUCCCCUAACAUACCUUUAAAUUUUCAAACUCUUGAUUACUAUUUACUCUCCCUAAUUUCGAAUUUUUUCUUUGAUUUCUUUUCUUUUUUUAAAUUCUACUUUAAAAAUGUAUGGGAGAAAAUGAGUAAUUGAUUGGAGAUAGAAAUUUGAAGAAAUUUAGUGUAGAAGAGAAAAGAUGAAGAAGUAGAGUUUUAUUGUUGUUUACGGAAAGGGGAAGAAAAAUGGAAAAAAAUGUAUUUUCUUUUCUUCUAAUCUUUUCUUCUUUCUUCUUUUCUUUUUUUUUAAGGGAAAUGGCUAGCAAAUUGCCACAUGUGCUUAACUUAAAAUUUAAUUUAUUAUUUUUUUUCUUUUUCUCGUUUUUCUUUUUUUUAUUCUUAUUAUUUAUUUUAUUAUUUAUUAUUUUAUUUUAUUUUAUUUAUUUAUUUUUAUUUUAUUUUUAGGAUGUUACGCUAACCUUUUAAAUUAUUACAAUAUAUGAACAAAAUAGUAAAGUUGAAAUUAUAUAUAUCAACCGGCUUUCUUAAUUUUCUGAAUGUAAAACUUCUAUUCAGCUAUAUCAAAAGAAAAAGAAAGUAUAUAUAAUCUAAUUAUUUAAAACAAGUGAAAAGGUAAAAGUUAUUAUUCAGACAAAAGAGGAUAGCCUUUUUCUAUUUUAUAUUUAAUAUUUCAUAAUUUUUAUUUGCAUUACCUUUUUAUAAUAUUUUUUAUUAACUUUUUAAUUAUACACAUUUUAAAUAUAUUAAAUUUUAUUAAAUAUUAUACAUAUUUUAGAUACUCAAUUUGAAAUACUAAAAAUAUUUUGAGUAUUUAUUUAAAAAAUAAUAAUUUAUGUGAAGUUAUUUUAAAAAUAAAAUAGAAUUAUAAUAGUUAAUUUAUAUAUUAUUACAAUAUUAAAAAAUAAUAAUAAUAAAAAAAUUACGAGAUGAAAAUAGUAUAAAAUUAAAUAAAAAAUUGAAUGACUGAAAAUAGCGAUUGCAUGUUAGUAAAUGGAUAUUAAUUGUCUUCCUGAAUCUAUAGGCACAUAUGCGCAAAGACAACGGUAGAGAAUUAAUGAAAUGGCAAAUCACACAGCUUGCUUGUUGCUUCCUUGGUCCCCUUCUAAUCAAAUGGCAACCCUUAGGCCCAUUACCCAUAAAACUAACCUUUUUUUUUAUAAUAUUCAUUUUUAGCAUAAAAAAUUAUUUAAUUAAAAAAAAUCUAAUUAAAAUUGUAUUAAAACCUAAAACAGAUUUACCAUUAAUUUGCACUCCAAGACUUAGCCUGGUGGAAAGUGCAUCCUAUAGUCUUAAAAGGUUUAAGGUUCGACUCCCCCAAUCUUUAUUUCAAAAAAAAAGAUUUACUAUUAAUUUUUAUCUCAGGAUUAAACCUCUAUUACCCGAUUUAAGACAAGUAACAUAAAAUAUAAUAAAUAAAAUAUGAUAUAAUCAUUAUAUUCUAAUUGAAAUAUUUAAAUUUAUUGAAAUAGGACGAUUUAUAAUUUGUUAAUAUUUUUAAUCAAUAUCAUUUAAUUAAAUUAUUUAUUUUAAAAUUUUUUUUUAGGAAUCUCAAAUAAAUAUUAUAAAUAAAAUUUUUUUUCAUCUCUUAAGUUUAAUUUAAAUUUUUAUAAAAUUUAAAACUAAUCAUCUCAUAUAAUCGGAACUCUCUUCUGGUGUUAUAUGCACAGCUGAAGGUUCCCAAUAAGCCCAAAUCUGUAAACAAUGGUGCAUAGUGCAACAUAGGAUGGGUAACCUUUUUGUUAGCCAAUAGUUUCUUAAUCGAAAUUAUUCGGUGCUCUGAAAUUAUGACGAAACAAGAAAUAUGUGGUACUCGUAAUUAAUAAAAUUAAAAAUUAUUUUUUAUAUUAUUAUUUAUUUACGAUAGUUACAUAUUGAUAUGUUAGAAUUUAAUGGGUUGUAGUACCACUACCAAACUCAUCCAUCCAUCCAAAUCUACCAGCAAAAUUCAUGUCAGCUAACAGUUGAGAUGAAGAGAUGUGAAAUGGCAUGUUAGUGAAGAUCAAGAGAUGGGUAGUAUUUUUUAGACCAUUUCUUUUACGAAAAUAUUUUUUAAAAAAAUAUUUUUCAUAUUUUAUGAUGUUUAAAAUAUUUAAUUAAUAAAAAAUAUUUUUUUAUUAAAAUAAAAUGUUAAAAGUUUAUAUUAACAAUUAAAAAUAAUAAAGAGGAACUUAUAUAUAUUGAGUGUAAAUAUCUAAAAUUUAUUAAAUUUGAAUUAGAAAAUGAAAUUAUGAGAGAUGCAAAGAGGUAAAAGAUAAUUUUUAAUUUACUCUACAUACUUCUUUUGCCUCCUUUAUGUUGAAAUCAAUUAAUGAGUAUAUAGUAAUGAUAUUAUUUUAUUUUAAAAAUUUCUUAGAUUUUCAAUUAAUUAUAUAAUAUAUUUAUUGAAUUUAAUUAUUCAGAAAAUUUUAAAAAGCAAUUUCAUUUUAUAUAAAAUAAAAAAAUAUAAUUAAUUGAAAAAUUAAACAUUAACUAUUAACAUGCAUAUUAAUGUUUUCUAAAAUUAUAUAAAAAAUCUGCUUAAUUGUAUAUAGCCUAUUUUUAAAAUUAUAAAAUUAUCAUUUAUAAUUUUUAUUAUAUCUAAAAUAAUAAAUAAAAGAAACAUAAAAUAAUAAAUAAUUCAUUUUAAAUUUAACAAUAAAAUUAAAAUAAAUAAAUGAUUUUUUUUCCCAAAGAAAUGAUAAAAAUUCGAUACUGAUCGAUCUCCAGAUCAUAAUAAUAAGUAUAGCAAUAAUGAGCGAACUUUCGAGGCUCUUCGAAGCAGAAACAUUCAUGACUCUUAUAAGUAAGAAGUUACCUUGAGCAGAUUCAGUUGAGGCCCGUCUCUCUGUAAGACAUGGAUCAAACACCUUCUUCUAAAGAAUUCAGUCUCUUAUCUCCUCCCAUUUUCUUACUUCUGCCUGUUAUCUUUAUCAUCAUCAAGCAUAUUGCCUCUCUAUCUUCGAAUCGGCGGCCUCUUCCUCCAGGUCCCAGGCCAUGGCCUAUCGUAGGCAACAUUUUUCAUCUCGACAAAAAGCUACACAUCUCAACGACACGCUUUGCCAAACUUCAUGGCCCUCUAAUUUCAUUGAGGCUCGGUACUCAAGUAGUUAUUUUUGGCUCUUCUCCGACUGCAGCAGCUGAAAUUCUAAAAAAUCACGACCGUUUGCUAUCUGCUAGAUGGACACUUAAAGUGAUUCCGCGCAAAAUCCAUGAACUUGAACGUAUAUCUGUUAUUUGGAAUCCCACAUGCAAUGACCAGUGGAAGUCCUUGCGAGCCUUGUUCAGGACCGAGCUUUUCUCUGCCAAAGCCAUCCAAUCUCAAGCCACUUUGAGG
Molecule: long non-coding RNA, 7416 nt
Filed under: Manihot esculenta (cassava)
Lineage: Eukaryota; Viridiplantae; Streptophyta; Magnoliopsida; Malpighiales; Euphorbiaceae
Description: long non-coding RNA (MESC_LNC003666)
Source: RNAcentral